Molecule: long non-coding RNA, 315 nt
Organism: Quercus robur (English oak)
Lineage: Eukaryota; Viridiplantae; Streptophyta; Magnoliopsida; Fagales; Fagaceae
Exons: 2
Source: RefSeq, a predicted model, not a curated record
GAAAUUAAAGUGCUUAUGCUUAUUUGUGGAGAUGAAAGAAGAGAUGUAACAUAGGGCUUGUCAAGGGUGGAUUGACAGCAAAUCAAAAAAUGGAUCCGGUUGACCAAGUUACUGGGGCUUCCCCUGUCUGGUGAUGGUGUGUUCCAAACCAAAACCACUUUGAUAAUGUGUUUUGAUGAGUGGUAGAAUGAUUUCAAGUCCCCGUAUGAUCUGUUAAGUAAAGGUUCCACAUGUUUUAGUGGAAAUCAAUGUAGUGGCAUCAUUAAACAGUCUGUAUACCAUUGGCAGCGGUAUAUCACGUUUGAAAGUUUUUUA